AAGCUACUUGACUACCUGCACACAAUCAGGACUGGGCAAGUGUUUGGGACAGUGCUUGCUGUUGUCCACACCGUGGAGUUCCAGAAAACGGGGGUGCCCCAUGCACAUAUCCUUGUUUGGCAGGAGAAGAACGAUGAUCAGGCCCCUGCACUUGCUGAUGUUGAUCCAGAUGCUUGUACUGCUGCACCUGCCAACAGCGUGGAAGCGGCGGUUGCUCAGCCAGCUAGGCUUAACAGGUACACUAUAUCUAUACA
Molecule: long non-coding RNA, 254 nt
Organism: Triticum dicoccoides
Lineage: Eukaryota; Viridiplantae; Streptophyta; Magnoliopsida; Poales; Poaceae
Exons: 3
Source: RefSeq, a predicted model, not a curated record